CGCGCAGGCGGUCCUUUAAGUCUGAUGUGAAAGCCCACGGCUCAACCGUGGAGGGUCAUUGGAAACUGGGGGACUUGAGUGAAGAAGAGGAGAGUGGAAUUCCACGUGUAGCGGUGAAAUGCGUAGAGAUGUGGAGGAACACCAGUGGCGAAGGCGACUCUCUGGUCUGUAACUGACGCUGAGGCGCGAAAGCGUGGGGAGCAAACA
This 207-nucleotide ribosomal RNA is filed under the name uncultured bacterium. RNAcentral's name for it is "partial 16S ribosomal RNA". It matches the Rfam family "Bacterial small subunit ribosomal RNA", at positions 568 to 774 of the family's 1533-position model. The record is from RNAcentral.